GGUGAGUAAUGUAUCGGAACGUACCCAGUCGUGGGGGAUAACUAUCCGAAAGGAUAGCUAAUACCGCAUACGUCCUGAGGGAGAAAGCGGGGGACCGUAAGGCCUCGCGCGAUUGGAGCGGCCGAUAUCGGAUUAGCUAGUUGGUGAGGUAAAGGCUCACCAAGGCGACGAUCCGUAGCUGGUCUGAGAGGACGACCAGCCACACUGGAACUGAGACACGGUCCAGACUCCUACGGGAGGCAGCAGUGGGGAAUUUUGGACAAUGGGGGCAACCCUGAUCCAGCCAUUCCGCGUGAGUGAAGAAGGCCUUCGGGUUGUAAAGCUCUUUCAGCAGGAACGAAACGGUGGUCCUUAAUACGGGCUACUAAUGACGGUACCUGAAGAAGAAGCACCGGCUAACUACGUGCCAGCAGCCGCGGUAAUACGUAGGGUGCGAGCGUUAAUCGGAAUUACUGGGCGUAAAGCGUGCGCAGGCUGCUCCAUAAGACAGAUGUGAUAUCCCACGGCCUAACCUGGGAACUGCGUUUGUGACUGUGGGACUCGAGUGUGGCAGAGGGGGGUGGAAUUCCACGUGUAGCAGUGAAAUGCGUAGAGAUGUGUAGGAACACCGAUGGCGAAGGCAGCCCUCUGGGUCAACACUGACGCUCAUGCACGAAAGCGUGGGGAGCACACAGGAUUAGAUACCCUGGUAGUCCACGCCCUAAACGAUGCGAACUAGGUGUUGGGGAAGGAGACUUUCUUAGUACCGCAGCUAACGCGUGAAGUUCGCCGCCUGGAGAAGUACAGCUCGCAAGAUCA
RNAcentral lists this ribosomal RNA (798 nucleotides) under uncultured bacterium. RNAcentral's name for it is "bacterial SSU rRNA". It matches the Rfam family "Bacterial small subunit ribosomal RNA", at positions 105 to 896 of the family's 1533-position model. The record is from RNAcentral.